AAUUCUAGAGCUAAUACAUGCAGCAAGUCCUGUCUCCUUGUGAGCAGGGCGCAGUUAUUAGAUCAAAAACCAAUCGACCGUACUUUCGAGUGCAGUCGCUCUUUUGGUGAAACUGAGUAACCACAGCAAACCGCAUGGCCUCGUGCUCGGCGGUCUGUCGGUCAAGCAACUGCCUUAUCAGCUUGUUGUUAGGUUAUAUGCCUAACAAGGCGUCAACGGGUAACGAACGAUCGGGGUCGGACAUCGGAGAGGGAGCCUGAGAAACGGCUACCACUUCCAAGGAAGGCAGCAGGCGCGCAAAUUACCCACUCCCGGCACGGGGAGGUAGUGACGAGAUGUAUCGAUGCGGGGCAUUUUUGCCUUCGUAAUCGGAAUGAGUACACUUUAAAUCCUUUAACGAGGACCUAUUGGAGGGCAAGUCUGGUGCCAGCAGCCGCGGUAAUUCCAGCUCCAAUAGCGUAUAUUAAUGCUGCUGCGGUUAAAAAGCUCGUAGUUGGAUCUGGGUUCCCGACGGGCACUAUAUGCAGCUUCGGCUGUUUAUAUGUGCUAUACGUGUUGCUUCGGCAGCACUGCCGACGUAGCUAGUCUCAUUCGUAGGCAAGUUGCGUUGGUCGUCGGGACCACGGGCCAAGUCUUGGAGCAUGCUCUUUACUGAGUGUGCUACUCGCUUGGUGCGUUUACUUUGAAAAAAUUGGAGUGCUCAAAGCAGGCGUACAGUCGCAAUGCGGCCAGAACAGUGGUGCAUGGAAUAAUGGAAUAGGACCUCGGUUCUAUUUUGUUGGUUUUAAGAAUUCGAGGUAAUGAUUAAGAGGGACAGGCGGGGACAUUUGUAUUGCGACGUUAGAGGUGAAAUUCUUGGAUCGUCGCAAGAC
RNAcentral lists this ribosomal RNA (872 nucleotides) under Pseudechiniscus sp. 14 PG-2020. RNAcentral describes it as "SSU rRNA". It matches the Rfam family "Eukaryotic small subunit ribosomal RNA", at positions 154 to 936 of the family's 1831-position model. RNAcentral also lists the same sequence under 1 other name. Lineage: Eukaryota; Metazoa; Tardigrada; Heterotardigrada; Echiniscoidea; Echiniscidae. The record is from RNAcentral.